CUAUUUGUAGCUAUGAGUCUGGGAGAGCAAGAGGAGUGAAGCAGAACGUGGAGGCCUUGGGGUGGUUCAAUAUUCAGAGGACUGGAAGAGGAGAUGCCAGCAUCAUGAAGGCUUUUACUCAAACCUCUUGUUGAACCCUACUUUAUGUUGCUGUAGAGACCACCUAUCUCCUUGAGAAUGCUUCAGAAAAAGCCCAAAGUGAACAUCUUAGUGACAUCUAGCCUAGAUUUUAAGCUUACAUCCUGCUGGAAUCACUGAGACUGGUAAUGCAGGGGGAAGCAGCUGCUGGGUUCAGCCUUCACAGUUCAGAUCCUCCCAGGAGAGAGGUAGAACUUAUUUUAUGCAAGUAUCCUUGACAAAAGGAGUUUUAAAG
Molecule: long non-coding RNA, 373 nt
Organism: Sciurus carolinensis (gray squirrel)
Lineage: Eukaryota; Metazoa; Chordata; Mammalia; Rodentia; Sciuridae
Exons: 3
Source: RefSeq, a predicted model, not a curated record